Molecule: ribosomal RNA, 308 nt
Filed under: uncultured bacterium
Lineage: Bacteria
Description: bacterial SSU rRNA
Rfam family: Bacterial small subunit ribosomal RNA
Source: RNAcentral
GACGAACGCUGGCGGCGUGCUUAACACAUGCAAGUCGAACGGAAAGGCCCUUGCGUUGCAGGGGUAACUCGAGUGGCGAACGGGUGAGUAACACGUGGGUGAUCUGCCUUGUACUUCGGGAUAAGCCUGGGAAACUGGGUCUAAUACCGGAUAGGACCAUGCUUUAGUGUGUGUGGUGGAAAGUUUCGGCGGUUGGGGAUGGACUCGCGGCUUAUCAGCUUGUUGGUGGGGUAGUGGCUUACCAAGGCUUUGACGGGUAGCCGGCCUGAGAGGGUGACCGGCCACAUUGGGACUGAGACACGGCCCAG